Molecule: long non-coding RNA, 398 nt
Organism: Balaenoptera ricei (Rice's whale)
Lineage: Eukaryota; Metazoa; Chordata; Mammalia; Artiodactyla; Balaenopteridae
Exons: 3
Source: RefSeq, a predicted model, not a curated record
AAUUCUCAAUCGUAAUCCUUUGACAACAGUUGAAGAUUCUUAUCUUUUUAAAUUGCCAGCAUUAAAAUAUUUAGACAUGGGAACAACACAAGUGUCACUUACAACAAUUGAAAGCAUCCUCAUGAUGACCCUUGAAUUGGAAAAACUCUCCCUCUGGAGGAAGCCAGCCAUCAUGUAGUGAGGAUAUUCAAUCAAGUAGCAGGUGGACAGACAGGCCCAUGCAGGGAGGAAAUGAGGCCUCCCACUAACAACCAGCACCACCCUGACUGCCAGGUAAGGGAGUGAACCAUCUUGGAAGUGGACCCUGCAGCCUCAUUCCAGCCAUCAGAUGACUGCAGCCCUGGCCGAUAUCUUGAGGACCUCAUGAGAGACCCAGAGCCAGAACUGCCCAAGAUAUU